AUUAUUUCUCUGUAACUACGUUUUAGAUAACAUGACUCAUUCAUUUGGCUCUGCAUAUCUGAAGUUGCAACAAAAGGUUGCUCCGCGUGACAUGACCUUAAAGUUUAGUGUAAACACGAUAGAUAAACCAUCCAGACGAAAUAAAAUAUUGCAGGGAAACUGUGAGCGUGGCUCAUCGUUUAAUCUGUCAACAUUUUUCAUCAUAUUUCUUUCAAUUUUCAUCCCUCAAUGGUUCUGGGAACAAAUCGUGCCUGAUAUUUCCUGAUAGCUUGUCUAAUGCCUUCGAAAUAUCUUAAUUUUUCCGCUCGCAAAAAUUCGUCCAAAUUUGGCCGUCUCUAGCAUAAAUCGGGUCAUUCACAUUUAAGAUUCAUUUAACAUAUAUGGUUAAUUAGUAUAGUAAAGGAACUAGAUUCAAUCACAGUAUAUCUUCAAUGUUAGGGGACUAUAUAAUCACAUAGUGGUAAUAGCACCAUAUUAAUUUUACUUUAAGUUGAUGAUUAUCGUAUAUUCGCUUUAUUUUAAUCAACAUUUUUCAAUUAUCAGAAUUGCAUGGUUAAAAACUUUGCAUUGCGAAAUGCAAUCAAGGGUUGGUCCUUUAUGUAAUCUAAACUGAAGUGUAGGAACAUGUAAUCCAAAUGAUGUAAUCUUAAUUAAACCAAUUUGUCGAU
Paramuricea clavata is the source of this 668-nucleotide non-coding RNA. The record is from the annotation of a GenBank genome assembly. NCBI's taxonomy places the organism in Eukaryota, Metazoa, Cnidaria, Anthozoa, Malacalcyonacea, Plexauridae.